CGGGGGGCAGCAGUCGAGAAUCUUCGGCAAUGGGCGAAAGCCUGACCGAGCGACGCCGCGUGAGGGAUUGAAGGCCUUCGGGUUGUAAACCUCUUUCGUAGAGGAGGAAGGGGCUGUGAAGAACAGUCCUUGACCUAUUCUAGGAAGAAGCUUGGGCUAAGUUCGUGCCAGCAGCCGCGGUAAGACGAACCAAGCGAACGUUAUUCGGAAUUACUGGGCUUAAAGCGCGUGUAGGCGGACUACCACGUUGGUUGUUGAAAUCCCCCGGCUUAACCGGGGAACUGGCACCAAUACGAGUAGUCUGGAGGUGGGUAGGGGAGACUGGAACUUCCGGUGGAGCGGUGAAAUGCGUUGAGAUCGGAAGGAACGCCCGCGGCGAAAGCGAGUCUCUGGACCCAUACUGACGCUGAGACGCGAAAGCCAGGGGAGCAAACGGGAUUAGAUACCCGAGU
Molecule: ribosomal RNA, 452 nt
Filed under: uncultured Isosphaeraceae bacterium
Lineage: Bacteria; Pseudomonadati; Planctomycetota; Planctomycetia; Isosphaerales; Isosphaeraceae
Description: bacterial SSU rRNA
Rfam family: Bacterial small subunit ribosomal RNA
Source: RNAcentral